AAAAUACCCAAAAUACAAAAGACUGAUGAGAUGAACUCUGGACUUUAUGCAGAUCUGAUCAACUACGAUCAGAACACUACUGUGGUAGUUGCUGCUGUGGUGACUGCUAAUCUCCAGUACCUUAACUUGUGAGAAUUCUAAGCUUGUAAAACUUCACAAUUUAUCCUUCCUUUUGCUGCCUACAAACUCCCCAAGAGGUAAGGACAAAGUUUAAUGAAGGGACUUUAUAAU
RNAcentral lists this unclassified non-coding RNA (231 nucleotides) under Hevea brasiliensis (rubber tree). The record is from RNAcentral. Lineage: Eukaryota; Viridiplantae; Streptophyta; Magnoliopsida; Malpighiales; Euphorbiaceae.